GAUGAAGAACGCAGCGAAACGCGAUAGGUAAUGUGAAUUGCAGAAUUCCGUGAAUCAUCGAAUCUUUGAACGCACAUUGCACUCUGUUUCGGCAGAGUAUGCCUGUUUGAGAAUCUUUAGUAUUUCUUACCCGCUGGUUUUUUGCUUGCUUGCUUUUGUUUUCCUCUGGAGAGCAAGAGCAGCAGCAUUCAGUCAGUGUUUGGUAGAUUUGAGGUGUGAACUGCGCAAGUAGUUCUUCCUUUAAAUGAGUAGCCUUCUUUGAAUGCGACUUUAGUGUUUGAAUAGAACAUUGUUCUGAUAUUACGCUAUGGGUUUACUUCAAUAAAGGGGGUUCAUACUUUGAAGAGUUUAGUAAAAUAAGCUCUUGAACAAUGGUCUCAAAUCAGGUAGGAGGACCCGCUGAACUUAAGCAUAUCAAUAAGCGGAGGA
RNAcentral lists this unclassified non-coding RNA (429 nucleotides) under soil metagenome. Its description in RNAcentral is "partial contains 5.8S ribosomal RNA, internal transcribed spacer 2, and large subunit ribosomal RNA". The stretch from base 1 to 116 matches the Rfam family "5.8S ribosomal RNA", at positions 35 to 154 of the family's 154-position model. The record is from RNAcentral.